CUUGAGUUGUUCUGAAAAUACAUGGCAGAAAAUACUUAUUCACAGUUACUUAGAUGAGGGAUUGGUAUGCAUGCCAUGCUAAAAUUUUGACUCAUUUUAUGUGAUGCAAACUAUUUUGCUGUUUACAGGUUUUUUGCUCUCAAAUAUGCUGCAGAUGCUGCUUGCACUGUGCUGCGUGUAGAUCAGAUUAUAAUGGCAAAACCAGCUGGUGGCCCAAGGAGGGAGCAGCCUGCUGCGGGGAUGGAUGAGGACUAUGGUUUUGUAUGAGCUUGGGGCAAGUGACUGUAAUGACCAUGCUUGGGCUAUGCUUUUGUUCCUUUUGCAUGCCAAAGACACAGCCUAAGAAAUUUUUGUUUUAAAAUGGCAUAGAUGGUGUUCUUUCUUGUAUAAUUUAUUUGUAUUUUAUUUUAUUUUUUUGUGGAAAAAAAAAUUGAAGUUUGUUUUUGGGGUGAUCCUAAUUUUUCUUGCAUUAGUGCUGUGGUGCUGAACUUAAAACUGAUACCAGGGAUACCACUUGGCAUUUAGCAUUUAAAUUGUUUGGUUGAAAUCUUAGAGCCUGAUUUCCAAUUACUGUCUGGGGGCAGAUUUUAUUUUUUCAAUUUAUUUAUUAUUUUUUUU
Camellia sinensis is the source of this 618-nucleotide non-coding RNA. NCBI's taxonomy places the organism in Eukaryota, Viridiplantae, Streptophyta, Magnoliopsida, Ericales, Theaceae. The record is from RefSeq and is a predicted model, not a curated record.